ACAUGAGGGCAAUCUGGCUGUGACAUCUGUCACCCCACUGACUGCCAGGGUUGAUUCGGCCGAUCUGGCUGGCUAGGCGGGUGUCCCCUUCCUCCCUCACCACUCCAUGUGUGUCCCUCCCAAAGCUGUGUGCUUGGUCGAAGAGGAUGGCCUUCCCGAAUAGAGACGGACUGGUCUUCUGGUGAGGGUAUACGAGUAGCUGCGCUCCCCUUCUAGAACCUCCAAACAAGUUCUCAAGGAAGGAAUCUUCAGUGCUGUUGUAGUUAGUCUUGUCCUCU
Non-coding RNA from Erinaceus europaeus (western European hedgehog), 278 nucleotides. The record is from Rfam. NCBI's taxonomy places the organism in Eukaryota, Metazoa, Chordata, Mammalia, Eulipotyphla, Erinaceidae.